UAUUCCGAUUCGAAUCUAGGGCUUCGAAGCAUAAUAAAUCCAUAUAUUGUAUGAAAAAUGUAGGCUUUUCUCUUUUUUUCCUCCCUUUUUGCGUGUGUGUUAUACUUUUGGAGAACUGUGUGGCACUAUAAUGCGAGGAAAACAUAUGCUAAUGAAACGGGGCUUCUUUUCGUUCAUAGGAUGCGAGCUUAUGGUAACAGGAUAGCAGUGUCGUGUUAGGUUUCACCAUAGAAGUGUAUUUGGUGGCAAUCUUGUGAGGCUUGGCUUGUUUGGAUGCUCUGUUUUUCCAUGUAGAAUAGUAUGUUCUGUAGAUUUGAUAUACAGGUUGAUAUGAUUUCUAUUAAAUAUGAUACCAAUGACACAAGUAUGAUAAUUUUUGCUUGGAGCAUACAGGAUAAGAUAACAUUGUCAAUGAGAUACCUGAACUAGCAUGUGGAUGUAAAAUCACAAGUGCAAUAGGAUAAUCAUAACUUAUGAAUCAAUAGCAGCACCACUAGAUGAUUAUCUACAGUCUUUUGCAGUGCAAUACGUGCAACAAACAUUACAUGCGUUAGGCACAAAGAAAGUUUUCUGCUUGGCUUAUAUCUAGACCUUUCUAGCUCACAUAUGAUAUAUGGCACAGGUGAUACAGUUUGAUGUCACAGAUGGAACGUUUGUCUAAUACAAGGACAUAGCACAAAAGGUUGAGAGCCUUUAUAAAAUUUUACAAUACCAAGAAACCAAGCAUCAAGCACUGGAUUAUAUAGAAUUUACUCUGAUCAUUCAAUAAUCAGAUAUGAGAUCUCAAAUCAAUGACAGUCAACUCCUCUACUAAUUGAAUUUCAGUUACAUGGUUGACAUAAUAACCGGAUAAUCCAAAUGUGAACUUACAAACUAGUUUCUGAACUUCAUAUCUUCCUGUUACAACUGACAACAAAACCAAAAGGGAUGUAAAAGCAUGAGCAACAUUGUUGUCAGAACCUUAUAUCCUAGGAAUCGUAGGAUAGGGAUCACUAAGGAUCAUAAUCUAUAUCCAUGCUGUGCAUCAUAUGAUUCCUUAGAUCACAAAAUUUAACUCAGUUGUGUUUUUUGCACAUUAAACCAAGUGGAAGAGGUCAAUUCUAUGUGAUUUAUUUACUUUUUGACUUUAGAAUUAUUUUUACAAUAAGCCUUGAAGUAUAAGUUGCAGCUGUUUUAUGUUUUUCAACUUUUAAUUACUAAGCAAAAAUCAAUCGAUGGCAAAUAAAUUAAUUUAUUUUAGUUUAUUGUAUUUUCAAAACUUUUAUUCAAGUAAUAUUUAGACUAUGUUCUAGAGUCAUGUUUUUAGGGGGAUUCACGCACAAUAGUCCUACAUCAAUGGUAUGUUGGCUUGGAAAAUUAUUGUCAUUACAAUUUGAUAUGUUGCCAGUUUGGUUGUCUUUCUAUAUAAAGAUCAUAUGGGAUUUCAGACUUUGCAUUUAGGAAAUAUUUUGGUCCCCUUGCUGGGAUAGGUUAUUUGGUUUUCAACAUUUCUAGCUCCCUUGUAGAAAACGUAGACAAGAGUCUAUAGAAGCACCAAUUACAGCUAUUUAAACGAAAGAUUUUUGUUUGGGUUGUAAACAUGAUAAAGAUGAUCAAAUUACCUUAGUUCAAGCUUAAUUGGGAAUCUUUCAAGACUUUCUUGAGCUCAUCACGACCUAGCUAGCCCAACUUAAGCUCAACUUGUCUAUUAUCGAUCUAGCAAGGUCUCGGAAUAGUUGGGCUNNNNNNNNNNNNNNNNNNNNUGUUUGGGUUGUAAACAUGAUAAAGAUGAUCAAAUUACCUUAGUUCAAGCUUAAUUGGGAAUCUUUCAAGACUUUCUUGAGCUCAUCACGACCUAGCUAGCCCAACUUAAGCUCAACUUGUCUAUUAUCGAUCUAGCAAGGUCUCGGAAUAGUUGGGCUUGCUAGUAGGUGAGGGAACGGGGGAAGGCUUGAUGAUGAUAAGAGAUGUGGCUAGGAAGUGGAUGGAAAUAAUGCCUAUGGCAUGGCUCAAGAGUUGGGCAGAGGAUAUAAUCAAAUUCUUGAUCAGAAUUUCAAAAUAUAUGACUUAAUCUUGACUAUCAAUGUUCAUUAUGAUCGUCGUUGUAGAUGCAUCCUUCAUCUCAACACCAUUAUUGGUGAUGCACAGUUGAGGAAGAAGAUGUAGAAGAAUGCCCCUUACUUUGUUUCCAUCUUUACAAUAGGUUGCAACCUGAGCCAGUAAGGUUGGUCGAAUGCUAAUCCAACCCCAACUCUACAUCUAUUUUUGUAAACAAAAUCAACUUGAGGGGCCUCGGUUGGGUUUCUCUUACAAAGCCCAACGCAACACUAUCUUAAGUUAAAUUUGGUUCGGGUUAGGUUAGAGUCGUGUUGGGUUGGGCUAGUCCAUGUUAAUUGAAUUAAAUCGGGUCGAGCAAGAAUGAUAAGGUGGUGGAAAAGUUUGGGAUGCUUUUUUGUUGGAUUUAAUUGCUGGCUCAAGACCUCAACCAUCUAUUUAUUUUGAUGGUAUAGUUUCUCAAUUUUACAUUUUAAUAAGACAAAGGACAUAGUUAUAUAAAAUAUAUAAUUAAUUUUAUUUGAAAUAAAUAUGAUUUAGUUAUCUAUCUUUUAGUUUGUCAGGUGUGUGUUGGGUUUUGGUUUUGUUGAAUUGUUUAAGCUCAACUCUGACCCAACACAACUAGAGAUUGGAUUAGGAUUUCUGAGCCUAAGGCCAAUACAAAUUUAUAAAAACUUAACCCAACCCUACCUGGCAACUGAGUUGGACAAGUUAGGUUGAGCCCAGCCCAAGUUGCACCCCUACUUUGCCUUGAGAUGUUCUAGAAGAAGAAAUAAGGGAAACAUUUCUCUUUAGGAGGAGAGAGGAAAAGGGUUUCCAUUCUUUUGGUACCUAUGUUAUCCAGCUGGAAAGAGGGGUUAUUUAGGAAAACCUACUAAAGACAUUGAUUCCAGCCAUUGGAUUGAAAUCUAAUGGCUCAGACAUGCAUCCUUCUUUGUGUAAGAGGGUAUUUAUUUAAAAAACUACAGAAAUAACUCUCUUUAUAAAUAACAAAAAUUAUGUAACAUAUAUUUUACUAAUUUAUAUCAAUUUAUUUAAAAUUAUGCAGUGUGUAUUUAUCAAGUUAUCUAUUUAUAAAUAUAUCAAGUUAUAUCAAGCCAAACAUGAGUUACCGCCCAUAGCUUGUAUUUAGGUCUUUUGUAUUUCAAGUUCAAAACUCCUGUUCAUUUUGGAUCAUUUAUUAAUGAAGCAACCCAAAAUCAAGCUGAAUUUCAAGCCAAACAUAAGUUUUUCAUGAAUAGCUUGUUUAUUUGAUAGCCCUACUUCUAGUGGGCAACUUUAGCCUUUCUUAUUUCUCUCUCUUCUUAAUCUCUCUUCUAUGAUGUUUCACUUAGUUAAUAUUAUCCUUGUUUCACUUUUCUAAAUAUCACUUUACUCCUGUUCUCUAUAUAUAUGUGCAAUCCCUGAUCUGAUUUUCUAUUAUGAUGUUAUGUAAUUACUCUGGUCACCCUGGUUGACAAGUUUCAUUUGUAACUUCUUCUUUGGACGUAUUCCUCAUCCAAAAAUCUUACACAAUUUUUUUUGGUCUUCUAAAUCUUAUAAUCAUCAAAAUAACCAUUUCUGCCCUUAUUUUUGCAAGACAGGAAGCUGAUUUCCUAACCUAAAUCCUUCUGAUUCCUUUUUAGGUCCACCUAUUCCCUGCAAGCGACCCAUAAGUGGUCUUAGCAUUUUGUUAUUAUAUCUAAAGUAUCCUACUUUGUUCUUCCUUUUUUUCUUGAUCUUCUUUCUACUUUCCUUGUUCUUUUCAUAUUACCAAAUGAGGAGUUAAGUUUCAAGGUCCAUGUUCUUCAUGAACAUGUCCAAUAUGAGGUCUUUGAGAAGUUGCAUGAUGAUAUGAUGUAUGAAUAAUAAUAUGGCAUGGCUAACUUUUAUGGUGGAUAUGAUCUAGUGAUUUUCCUAGACUUGAUUCAUGGUCUUGAAUGUUAACUUCUAUUUGUUGAAGCAAAGUGGAAGGGGAUAGCAUGGACAUGGUGGACUAACUUCAUUACGUCGCUGUCAUUGCUUGGGAUGAUAUGAAAGUGAUGACAACUUGUUAAUUUAUGCUUUCUAACUACCGAGAAUGACUACAAUUGAAAUUCACACAUUUCAUGCAAUGGAGUUUGACCUGUUAGGACUAUAUUGUCAAGUUCUAUAGCUUGAUGACUUGAUUUGAGUUUCCAUAGGUUGAGGCUACCAUGUUAUUUAUUCAUUGCUAGAUUUCACUUCAUCUUGAUCCAUUUCUAAGCUAAUAUCUGUUUUCAAGAGUCUCAAUAAUCACGUUACGAAGCAAGCAUUGCCUAUCCCAGAUCCCAGAAUCUCCUACCGAAUGACACGAUUGAAUCCUUAACAAGACAACAAACAGGUACCUUUUGCAAUGGAAAAGGCAAAUCUGUUUUGAGAAUAGAGUUAAGAGGUCCCCCCUUGAAAGAGGAGUUUCAUGGUCGAUGUAUUCUGCUCUCUCCGCACUGAGUUGUAAAAGCUAGCUUUGACAUUUCCUAUAACAACAAAUCAGGGGCUUCCACAUGCCAAGUCAAAGGUUAAGUAGACUUCUUGGACAAAAAAUGCAUGCCUCAAUUGUUUGUUGUCAAAGCAUUGCUCACCUUCAUUUCAAAUAAGAAUAAUUGUAUCUGAAAGAAUGUUAUUGGGAAUUAGAUGUGAUCAGAACUAUUAUAUCCUACCUAUAUGCAUCAUUUAUCCUUUGACAUGUUGAGGAUGUGCUAGAGAACCAUAUGGAAUUAGAGAUAAGUACAUUAUAGGAGGCCUUUAAGUAUCAUAAAUACAAAGCUCAAAUGGUUGAGAAUUGACUGAUAAGCUGUGAUGGUUUGGUCUUUUUUGGUGAAGAUAUAGGUAGUUGUAUGUAGAAUCAAUAUUGUGUGGAUAAUUGUGAUGAGAAAGGGUUCCAACAAAGUAUAUUUGUUAUAUCGAAUCUAAUUUUCAUGUGUCAUCCAUGAGAUAGGGCUUGUAAAUAUUUAAAAUUAGAUUGGUUCACUAAGGAUAUCAGGUCAAAAGAACGCAUGAUGCACAUGCAACAGGCAAGGGAACCCUACCUAAAGAUUAAGUGAAUGAAUGGAUGUGAUAAAAUCAUAAAACAAUUAAGUUCAACAGGGGACAAAAAGUUAGGAGGGUGUGGGCACCUCUCUCUCUCUCACACACACACGCACGCGCACACACAAAUUCAUGGACACAACAAAAAGAAAAAAAUAGAAAAAAAGAAAGCAUGGCUUUCUGCAUUGAAGUUUGUCCUUUUAGCUGGAAACUUGUUUUAUCUGGGUCAACAUCAUUUAACAUGUAUUGUUGGCCUAUGGGACAGUUAAGUAGAUGGAUUAAUGAGAUUAUGAGGGAAGAUGAGUAUGCUUGAUUAUCUGGAAAUCAUAUUUUCAUCUUAUGUUCUACUUAACUAAUAUCACUAGAAAGUCGAUAUGGAUUGGAGUCUUUUUAAGCCCGCAACGUUCCCAGUUUCUCUGUUUCUGCCAACCUGUUAAGAUCAUUAUAUUUUCCCAUUUAUCUGUACCAUUUUGUUCUCUUUGUGGUGGAGGAAUUAGCAAUAAAGCAUGAAAGGUGGAAUCAAGAUGUUAAAUCAUGUUAAUAUGAAUAAAUAAGAGAUGCAUGCUCCAUUAGUCAUGGACUUUUAAGGGGUGGUUGCUUUAUACAGUAGCACAGUCAUUACCUGGACGAGGAAUUUAAGCUUCAUUUGUACCAAGACUGUGGGUGCCAAAGGAAUUCUUGCAAUGUUAAAGUCUAUUUUAUUAUUACAUAAGUACCUCCUUCUACAAAAUUAGUUAUGUAAAAGCUGUAGGACACUACUUGGUGCCAGGUUGAGACAGAACUCCACUAAUGUAUAACUAAAUAGCACUCAUAGAAUGAUAUUUGGCUUGAUCCACCUCGAUCUUCCCUCCAGUCCCAAUCCUCUGUAGCAUCUGAUGAACUGUCUAGUGUAACAAAACACAAAUUA
Molecule: long non-coding RNA, 5965 nt
Filed under: Phoenix dactylifera (date palm)
Lineage: Eukaryota; Viridiplantae; Streptophyta; Magnoliopsida; Arecales; Arecaceae
Description: long non-coding RNA (PDAC_LNC003325)
Source: RNAcentral